Molecule: ribosomal RNA, 456 nt
Filed under: uncultured bacterium
Lineage: Bacteria
Description: bacterial SSU rRNA
Rfam family: Bacterial small subunit ribosomal RNA
Source: RNAcentral
UACGGAAGGCAGCAGUGGGGAAUAUUGCACAAUGGGCGAAAGCCUGAUGCAGCUAUGCCGCGUGUAUGAAGAAGGCCUUAGGGUUGUAAAGUACUUUCAUCGGGGAAGGAAAAACAAAACUAAUAAUUUUAUUUCUUGACGUUACCCGAAAAAGAAGCACCGGCUAACUCCGUGCCAGCAGCCGCGGUAAUACGGAGGGUGCUAGCGUUAAUCAGAAUUACUGGGCGUAAAGAGCACGUAGGUGGUUUUUUUAAGUCAGAUGUGAAAUCCCUGGGCUUAACCUAGGAACUGCAUUUUGAAACUGAAAUACUAGAGUAUCGUAGAGGGAGGUAGAAUUCUAGGUGUAGCGGUGAAAUGCGUAGAUAUCUGGAGGAAUACCUGUGGCGAAAGCGGCCUCCUAAACGAAUACUGACACUGAGGUGCGAAAGCGUGGGGAGCAAACAGGGAUUAGAUACC